CCUUCGAUAGCUCAGUUGGUAGAGCGGAGAACUGUGGAUCCUUAGGUCGCAGGUUCGAAUCCGCCUCGAAGGA
Molecule: transfer RNA, 73 nt
Filed under: Saccoglossus kowalevskii
Lineage: Eukaryota; Metazoa; Hemichordata; Enteropneusta; Harrimaniidae
Description: tRNA-His
Rfam family: tRNA
About the family: Transfer RNA (tRNA) molecules are approximately 80 nucleotides in length.
Source: RNAcentral